AUACGGAGGAUGCGAGCGUUAUCCGGAUUUAUUGGGUUUAAAGGGAGCGUAGGUGGGAUAUUAAGUCAGCUGUGAAAGUUUGGGGCUCAACCUUAAAAUUGCAGUUGAUACUGGUUUCCUUGAGUACGGUACAGGUGGGCGGAAUUCGUGGGGUAGCGGUGAAAUGCUUAGAUAUCACGAAGAACUCCGAUCGCGAAGGCAGCUCACCGGGCCGGAACUGACACUGAUGCUCGAAAGUGCGGGUAUCAAACAGGAUUAGAUACCCUGGUAGUCCGCACAGUAAACGAUGAAUACUCGCUGUUUGCGAUACACUGUAAGCGGCCAAGCGAAAGCGUUAAGUAUUCCACCUGGGGAGUACGCCGGCAACGGUGAAACUCAAAUGAAUUGACGGGG
RNAcentral lists this ribosomal RNA (393 nucleotides) under uncultured bacterium. RNAcentral describes it as "partial 16S ribosomal RNA". It matches the Rfam family "Bacterial small subunit ribosomal RNA", at positions 523 to 918 of the family's 1533-position model. The record is from RNAcentral.